This 662-nucleotide ribosomal RNA is filed under the name uncultured marine Phaeocystaceae. Its description in RNAcentral is "SSU rRNA". It matches the Rfam family "Eukaryotic small subunit ribosomal RNA", at positions 70 to 731 of the family's 1831-position model. The record is from RNAcentral. Lineage: Eukaryota; Haptophyta; Phaeocystales; Phaeocystaceae.
CGACUUGUACUGUGAAACUGCGAAUGGCUCAUUAAAUCAGUUAUGGUUUCUUUGAUGGUACCUUGCUACUUGGAUACCCGUAGUAAUUCUAGAGCUAAUACAUGCAGGAGUGCCCGACUUCGGAAGGGCUGUAUUUAUUAGAUAAGAAACCUUCUCGGGUUCGCCCGGUUGUGUGCUGAGUCAUAAUAACUGCUCGAAUCGCACGGCUCUACGCCGGCGAUGGUUCAUUCAAAUUUCUGCCCUACCAGCUUUCGAUGGUAGGAUAGAGGCCUACCAUGGCGUUAACGGGUAACGGAGAAUUAGGGUUCGAUUCCGGAGAGGGAGCCUGAGAAAUGGCUACCACAUCCAAGGAAGGCAGCAGGCGCGUAAAUUGCCCGAAUCCUGACACAGGGAGGUAGUGACAAGAAAUAACAAUACAGGGCUACUUCUAGUCUUGUAAUUGGAAUGAGUACAACUUACAUCUCUUCACGAGGAUCAACUGGAGGGCAAGUCUGGUGCCAGCAGCCGCGGUAAUUCCAGCUCCAGAAGCGUAUAUUAAAGUUGUUGCAGUUAAAACGCUCGUAGUCGGGUUUCGGGUCGGGCCGAGCGGUCUGCCGAUGGGUAUGCACUGUUUGGCGCGGCCUUCUUUCCGGAGACCGCGGCUACUCUUAACUGAGCGGGCG